This 259-nucleotide unclassified non-coding RNA is filed under the name uncultured fungus. RNAcentral describes it as "partial contains 5.8S ribosomal RNA, internal transcribed spacer 2, and large subunit ribosomal RNA". The stretch from base 1 to 52 matches the Rfam family "5.8S ribosomal RNA", at positions 103 to 154 of the family's 154-position model. Lineage: Eukaryota; Fungi. The record is from RNAcentral.
AACGCACAUUGCGCCCGCCAGUAUUCUGGCGGGCAUGCCUGUUCGAGCGUCAUUUCAACCCUCAAGCUCUGCUUGGUGUUGGGGAUCUACAAGCCUCCGUGCCUGUAGUCCCCGAAAACGAGUGGCGGACCCGCUGAAGCCUCUUUGCGUAGUAGUGUACUCUCCCUCGCAUCGGCGCCCAGUGGGAUUCUAGCCGUAAAGCCCCCAAAGCUUUAUUCUGGUUGACCUCGAAUCAGGUAGGAAUACCCGCUGAACUUAA